GGUAAAUUUGGAUAAACCGUGUGAUGGCUGCCAACUCUGCUACUCUGUCUUUCUCCUCUUCCUCUUGAUUGAUUACUCAACCAUAAAUAAACAGCCACUACUUGGAGUUGGAUACUCAAAACGAUUCGUUUCGCUUUCUGCGCUGCCUUAUCCUUCUUUCUCCUCGCGUCACAACCACGGAAGUUGAAGCUAGGAAAUCCAACCCAAGUUUACGUCUGCAACCUUCCUAGAAGCUGUGAUACUCAUCACCUACUUCAUCUUUUCACUCCUCACGGAACCGUUCUAUCUACCGAGGUUUGCCGAAAUGCAGAGACUGGUGAGAGUAAAGGGAGUGCUUAUGUCACAAUGGGAUCUUAUAAUGCUGCUAAAAAUGCACUUGCUGCGUUGGAUGGAUCGGAUGUUGGUGGGCGUGAAAUGCUGGUUAAAUUUUCUGUUGAGACAUUGAACUCGCCUCCUAUGAGAAGAAGAACAAUAUACUAUGAAGGUCCUCAUAAGGUGUAUGUUGGGAAUCUUUGGUAAAUUUGGAAAUGUGGCUAGUGUGAGGGUGUUGCAAGAUUUGAAUCAGGGGAAAAAAAAGCCGUGUCUAUGCCUUUGUCUCUUAUCUCUCUCAAAGAGAACGUGACGCCUCUAUGUCCCUCAAUGGAACCGAAUUUUGUGGUCGAACUCUAGUGGUUAGAGAGGGUGUGGAGAAGACUCAGACCUAAUUACAGCUUUUUUCAAAUUCUGCUCUGAUACAUACGACGACCAAUAUUUCAUGCCAGAACCUUUCUGAACGAGAUAACUUAGCUGGAAGUGGAGGUGUCCUACUGUAAUUGUUCCAUCAAAAUAUGGUUGUUUUUGAAUGUAAAAUUGCAAUCACCAGGCUCAAUGUGGUGUAUGGAACAUGGUUUUCAUAACAAACAUUGUUAGACCUGAUAAAGGAAUUUUUUUUUUUUUAAUGGCAAAUAUAUAUAUAUAUAUAUAUACAACUCAUAAAGGAACUUUUAUUCCUUUACAUAUCUAUAGAUACUUAAUCUGUAAUGAGUACUGACCAAGUGCAUAUUUAGUUUUCGGAGGUCUAUACUCUAUAACACAAUUUAAAAAAUGACACUUGGUUGAACUUGAACACCCUAUUGCAGACUACUUAGCAUGUUUUUGAUUUAUCAUUGAAAAACUCUAAAAAUAUAAGAUAUUUUUCGGGUUUUACAAUGUUAAACCAAACAUGGCAUUGGUGCAUGUUUGGUUAGGAUCUGGAUUCUCUAAUGUCAGCACCAGAACGCUGGAGUGCCGUUCACUCUUUUUCAACCAUCAGAUGAAUUUAAUGCUCAAAAUUAAGCCAUGCGGCCAUCUCCUAAACUUUUUAUUUGUUAAGCUUAAAACUACUCGCAUGUCCAGUAAUUGACCCUCUCUUAACCCUGUAUGCUAUGCGUGGGGGAGAUAAAAGCAGUGGCCUGGUUGCCGAAGUUUGUACACCACCGUCUCUGCAAAAUACGACUGACAAAAAAAGAAAUGAAGGGAAGUAUCUGAGCUACAUGACUGGUUGUAGGAAGGUUUCGUUAAGGGUGUUUGAUUGAGGCUGACAGAGCAGCGAUUAGCGAUGGCUGCGGAGCCCGGCCUGUGGAUAUAGAGGCAUGGAGUACUCGAAGGCAAAGGCAGAUAUAUGAAUAUGUGGAGUGGAGUGAUCAUGUAAGACAAAGGUAAAUAUUUGAGUAUGUGGAUUAAUCAUGAAGAGAUUUGCCGUAUGAGUAGUAUGUACAAACUUUUAUGUCAGCUGCAUGGGAAAACUAGAGAUUCACAGAAUUUCAACCUUUCUCAUUGGACUUUUGGGACUGAUAGGCAUGAUGACCCUUAUACAGAAUUUGAAGCUUUUUCAUUGGAUUUUUGGGGACUAAUAGUAAAUUUGUUAAGUAGUUUUAAAAAUAAUGUACAUAGUGAAAUGUUUCCAUUGUAAAGUAACGAGUGAUUCAAUUCGUGUAUGUUCUGUCAGUAUAAUGUGUGUGGCAUUGUAUGAAGCUCAAGUAUUUUAUAUGUAAUGUUAUAAAAUAGCAUUGUGUGAAAGUCGAGUCUA
Medicago truncatula (barrel medic) is the source of this 2047-nucleotide long non-coding RNA. RefSeq lists it as uncharacterized. The record is from RefSeq and is a predicted model, not a curated record. NCBI's taxonomy places the organism in Eukaryota, Viridiplantae, Streptophyta, Magnoliopsida, Fabales, Fabaceae. The transcript is spliced from 5 exons.